This 493-nucleotide ribosomal RNA is filed under the name uncultured bacterium. Its description in RNAcentral is "partial 16S ribosomal RNA". It matches the Rfam family "Bacterial small subunit ribosomal RNA", at positions 29 to 523 of the family's 1533-position model. The record is from RNAcentral.
AUUGAACGCUGGCGGCAUGCUUUACACAUGCAAGUCGAACGGUAACAGGUUAAGCUGACGAGUGGCGAACGGGUGAGUAAUGCAUCGGAACGUGCCCGGUCGUGGGGGAUAACGCAGCGAAAGUUGCGCUAAUACCGCAUACGAUCUGAGGAGGAAAGCGGGGGACCGUAAGGCCUCGCGCGAUCGGAGCGGCCGAUGUCAGAUUAGGUAGUUGGUGGGGUAAAGGCUCACCAAGCCAACGAUCUGUAGCUGGUCUGAGAGGACGACCAGCCACACUGGGACUGAGACACGGCCCAGACUCCUACGGGAGGCAGCAGUGGGGAAUUUUGGACAAUGGGCGAAAGCCUGAUCCAGCAAUGCCGCGUGCAGGAAGAAGGCCUUCGGGUUGUAAACUGCUUUUGUACGGGGCGAAAAGGUCUCCUCUAAUACAGGGGGCUCAUGACGGUACCGUAAGAAUAAGCACCGGCUAACUACGUGCCAGCAGCCGCGGUAA